GGAUGUGAGGGAGAGCUGGCUGCGACAUCUGUCACCCCAUUGAUCGCCAGGGUUGAUUCGGCUGAUCUGGCUGGUUAGGCGGGUGUCCACUUCCUCCCUCAACGCUCCAUGUGCGUCCCUCCCGAAGCUGCGUGCUCGGUCGAAGAGGACGACCACCCCCGAUAGAGGAGGACCGUUCCUCGGUCAAGGGUAUACGAGUAGCUGCGCUCCCCUGCUAGAACCUCCAAACAAGCCCUCAAAAAUCACUUUUAACACAUAGAAGAUUGAUUGAAUAAGCUGUUGGGAUUGUUUC
This 292-nucleotide small nuclear RNA is filed under the name Chinchilla lanigera (long-tailed chinchilla). Its description in RNAcentral is "7SK RNA (ENSCLAG00000022129.1)". It matches the Rfam family "7SK RNA". From Rfam's summary of the family: 7SK was discovered as an abundant small nuclear RNA in the mid-70s but a possible function has only recently been suggested. Two independent studies have found that 7SK RNA binds the CDK9/cyclin T complex (known as elongation factor P-TEFb). P-TEFb activates transcription by phosphorylating the C-terminal domain of RNA polymerase II. Lineage: Eukaryota; Metazoa; Chordata; Mammalia; Rodentia; Chinchillidae. The record is from RNAcentral.